This is a long non-coding RNA of Colias croceus (clouded yellow), 424 nucleotides long. RefSeq lists it as uncharacterized. The transcript is spliced from 2 exons. NCBI's taxonomy places the organism in Eukaryota, Metazoa, Arthropoda, Insecta, Lepidoptera, Pieridae. The record is from RefSeq and is a predicted model, not a curated record.
UACAAAUAAUACGGAAAAGUGCAAAGGAAUAAACUUUUCAUCAGUUUCCAUGUCUGGGCCGUGAAGAAAGGGAAAAAUGGGUAAAAUUUGUCCAAAACAACCACAGUGAAGAAACCUGGUUACCAUCCGAUAGAACUUGCGUCUGUUCAUUGCAUUUUCGCGAUGAGGAUAAAUAUACCACAAAAGCGGGAAGGCGUUUUCUAAAGAAGUCUGCUGUUCCUUGUAUUGAUGUUAGUAAUAAUAAUAAAAUUUUACGGAUUUGUAUAACAAAUAAAAUAUUAUUUUAGCCAUCACUAACAUUAUUAUUAUUAUAAUUUAUUUUAGCCGAAGGUGUGCUACAAUAGUACUGGAACAAUACAAGCAAUUUCUGAGCCGGGAACAUGUUCUGAGGAUGAUGAACUAAAUAAACACAAUUUUUACACGG